Molecule: ribosomal RNA, 156 nt
Filed under: Gammaproteobacteria bacterium
Lineage: Bacteria; Pseudomonadati; Pseudomonadota; Gammaproteobacteria
Description: partial 23S ribosomal RNA
Rfam family: Bacterial large subunit ribosomal RNA
Source: RNAcentral
CGAAUGGGGCAACCCGUCUGGUUGAAGACCAGACAUCACGCCGUAAGGCGUGGAGCGAACCCGGAGAACUGAAACAUCUAAGUACCCGGAGGAAGAGAAAACAAUAGUGAUUCCGCAAGUAGUGGCGAGCGAACGCGGAACAGCCCAAACCCAAUU